Molecule: ribosomal RNA, 490 nt
Filed under: Trisopsis sp. Trisp100
Lineage: Eukaryota; Metazoa; Arthropoda; Insecta; Diptera; Cecidomyiidae
Description: partial large subunit ribosomal RNA
Rfam family: Bacterial large subunit ribosomal RNA (bases 321-479)
Source: RNAcentral
UUUGACUGUACAAAGGUAGCAUAAUCAUUAGAUUUUUAAUUGAAAUCUAGAAUGAAUGGUUGGAUGAAAAAUUAACUUUUUUAUUUUUAAUUUAUUUAAUUUUUUUUAUUAGUAAAAAUACUAAUAUUUUAUUUUAAGACGAGAAGACCCUAUAGAAUUUUAUAUUAUAUUUUAUUAAAAAUAUUUAAUAUUAUUAUUUUAAAAAAAUAAAAAUAUUUAAUUGGGGUGAUUUAAAAAUAUUUAACUUUUUAUUAAUUUUUUUCAUUUAUUAAUGUUUUUUUGAUCUUUUAGUAUAGAUUAAUAAAUUAAAUUACCUUAGGGAUAACAGCAUAAUAAUUUUAAAGAGUUCUUAUUUUUAAAAUAAUUUAUGACCUCGAUGUUGGAUUAAAAUAAUUAUUAUAUGAAGAAAUAUAUUUAAUAAGUCUGUUCGACUUUUAAAAUUUUACAUGAUCUGAGUUCAAAUCGGUGUAAGCCAGGUCGGUUUCUAUCU